RNAcentral lists this non-coding RNA (96 nucleotides) under Rhizopus arrhizus. RNAcentral's name for it is "Rhizopus oryzae TPP sequence". It matches the Rfam family "TPP riboswitch aptamer (THI element)". From Rfam's summary of the family: Vitamin B(1) in its active form thiamin pyrophosphate (TPP) is an essential coenzyme that is synthesised by coupling of pyrimidine and thiazole moieties in bacteria. The previously detected thiamin-regulatory element, thi box was extended, resulting in a new, highly conserved RNA secondary structure, the THI element, which is widely distributed in eubacteria and also occurs in some archaea. Analysis of operon structures identified a large number of new candidate thiamin-regulated genes, mostly transporters, in various prokaryotic organisms. RNAcentral also lists the same sequence under 2 other names. The record is from RNAcentral. Lineage: Eukaryota; Fungi; Mucoromycota; Mucoromycetes; Mucorales; Rhizopodaceae.
AGAACAACCGAGGGGUGCCAAACUUGUUUGGCUGAGAUCAUACCCUUAAGAGCGGAUCAUGGUAAUGCAUGCGUCGCGACGUGUUUUCUUUUUUCA